GAUGAACGCUGGCGGCGUGCCUAAUACAUGCAAGUCGAGCGAACGGACGAGAGUGCUUGCACUCUCUGAUGUUAGCGGCGGACGGGUGAGUAACACGUGGGUAGCCUACCUAUAAGACUGGGAUAACUCCGGGAAACCGGAGCUAAUACCGGAUAAUAUUUAGCUUCGCAUGAAGCAAUAGUGAAAGACGGUUCUGCUGUCACUUAUAGAUGGACCCGCGGUGUAUUAGCUAGUUGGUGAGGUAACGGCUCACCAAGGCAACGAUACAUAGCCGACCUGAGAGGGUGAUCGGCCACACUGGGAUUGAGACACGGCCCAGACUCCUACGGGAGGCAGCAGUAGGGAAUCUUCCGCAAUGGACGAAAGUCUGACGGAGCAACGCCGCGUGAGUGAAGAAGGUUUUCGGAUCGUAAAACUCUGUUGUAAGGGAAGAACAAGUACGUUAGUAACUGAACGUACCUUGACGGUACCUUACCAGAAAGCCACGGCUAACUACGUGCCAGCCGCCGCGGUAA
This 515-nucleotide ribosomal RNA is filed under the name uncultured bacterium. RNAcentral describes it as "partial 16S ribosomal RNA". It matches the Rfam family "Bacterial small subunit ribosomal RNA", at positions 28 to 523 of the family's 1533-position model. The record is from RNAcentral.